UACAGAGGGUGCAAGCGUUGUUCGGAAUUAUUGGGCGUACAGGGAGCGUAGGCGGUUGGAUAAGCCCUCCGUGAAAUCUCCAGGCUUAACCUGGAAAGUGCAGAGGGGACUGUUCAGCUAGAGGAUGGGAGAGGAGCGCGGAAUUCCCGGUGUAGCGGUGAAAUGCGUAGAGAUCGGGAGGAAGGCCGGUGGCGAAGGCGGCGCUCUGGAACAUUUCUGACGCUGAGGCUCGAAAGCGUGGGGAGCAAACAGG
RNAcentral lists this ribosomal RNA (253 nucleotides) under uncultured bacterium. Its description in RNAcentral is "partial 16S ribosomal RNA". It matches the Rfam family "Bacterial small subunit ribosomal RNA", at positions 524 to 776 of the family's 1533-position model. The record is from RNAcentral.